GAUCAAUCCUCUUAUUUUCAUUUACAGAAACUAAUAGAUGACAAAUUAUGUGUAACAUACAGAGAUGGUUCAGCCACUUGUGUAAUUAAGGAAGGUUCAAAAGGACAUACAUAUUUGAAAGACGGAUUUUGGGUGCGGUAAUGGCGACGGUGUUCCAAUUUGAGACUUUUUGGGUUAGCCCAAGCAACAUCUUCUUGCAACUGGAUGGAGUGUGUAAGUGCAAAGAGGCUUGUUGCAGGUGAUUCGGUCCUUUUUCAUCUGGAAUGAAAGAAUCAUUUAAUCCUGGGAAUCUGGCAUGCUAAUCAGCCACAAACAGUCAUGCCUUUGUCACUAUAUAUAUUAACUUCUUGAAUUGUCUUUCAUAAAAAGAAAAAAGAAAAAAGAAAGAAAUAGUUACUGACAAUAUGCACUGGUGGAUUUCAUGCAUGAGGG
Molecule: long non-coding RNA, 432 nt
Organism: Magnolia sinica
Lineage: Eukaryota; Viridiplantae; Streptophyta; Magnoliopsida; Magnoliales; Magnoliaceae
Exons: 3
Source: RefSeq, a predicted model, not a curated record